Molecule: ribosomal RNA, 515 nt
Filed under: uncultured bacterium
Lineage: Bacteria
Description: partial 16S ribosomal RNA
Rfam family: Bacterial small subunit ribosomal RNA
Source: RNAcentral
GAUGAACGCUGGCGGCGUGCCUAAUACAUGCAAGUCGAGCGAAUGGAUUAAGAGCUUGCUCUUAUGAAGUUAGCGGCGGACGGGUGAGUAACACGUGGGUAACCUGCCCAUAAGACUGGGAUAACUCCGGGAAACCGGGGCUAACACCGGAUAACAUUUUGAACCGCAUGGUUCGAAAUUGAAAGGCGGCUUCGGCUGUCACUUAUGGAUGGACCCGCGUCGCAUUAGCUAGUUGGUGAGGUAACGGCUCACCAAGGCAACGAUGCGUAGCCGACCUGGGAGGGUGAUCGGCAACACUGGGACGGGGACACGGCCCAGCCUCCUACGGGAGGCAGCAGUAGGGAAUCUUCCGAAAUGGACGAAAGUCUGACGGAGCAACGCCGCGUGAGUGAUGAAGGCUUUCGGGUCGUAAAACUCUGUUGUUAGGGAAGAACAAGUGCUAGUUGAAUAAGCUGGCACCUUGACGGUACCUAACCAGAAGGCCACGGCUAACUACGUGCCAGCCGCCGCAGUAA